GUGCCAGCAGCCGCGGUAAUACGUAGGUGGCAAGCGUUAUCCGGAAUUAUUGGGCGUAAAGCGCGCGUAGGCGGUUUUUUAAGUCUGAUGUGAAAGCCCACGGCUCAACCGUGGAGGGUCAUUGGAAACUGGAAAACUUGAGUGCAGAAGAGGAAAGUGGAAUUCCAUGUGUAGCGGUGAAAUGCGCAGAGAUAUGGAGGAACACCAGUGGCAAAGGCGACUUUCUGGUCUGUAACUGACGCUGAUGUGC
This 250-nucleotide ribosomal RNA is filed under the name uncultured Staphylococcus sp. RNAcentral describes it as "partial 16S ribosomal RNA". It matches the Rfam family "Bacterial small subunit ribosomal RNA", at positions 505 to 754 of the family's 1533-position model. Lineage: Bacteria; Bacillati; Bacillota; Bacilli; Caryophanales; Staphylococcaceae. The record is from RNAcentral.